AGUGAACGCUGGCGGUAGGUCUAACACAUGCAAGUCGAACGGCAGCACAGUAAGAGCUUGCUCUUACGGGUGGCGAGUGGCGGACGGGUGAGGAAUACAUCGGAAUCUACUUUUUCGUGGGGGAUAACGUAGGGAAACUUACGCUAAUACCGCAUACGACCUACGGGUGAAAGCAGGGGAUCUUCGGACCUUGCGCGAUUGAAUGAGCCGAUGUCGGAUUAGCUAGUUGGCGGGGUAAAGGCCCACCAAGGCGACGAUCCGUAGCUGGUCUGAGAGGAUGAUCAGCCACACUGGAACUGAGACACGGUCCAGACUCCUACGGGAGGCAGCAGUGGGGAAUAUUGGACAAUGGGCGCAAGCCUGAUCCAGCCAUACCGCGUGGGUGAAGAAGGCCUUCGGGUUGUAAAGCCCUUUUGUUGGGAAAGAAAAGCAGCAGGUUAAUACCCCGCUGUUCUGACGGUACCAAAGAAUAAGCACCGGCUAACUUCGUG
RNAcentral lists this ribosomal RNA (491 nucleotides) under uncultured bacterium. RNAcentral's name for it is "partial 16S ribosomal RNA". It matches the Rfam family "Bacterial small subunit ribosomal RNA", at positions 29 to 507 of the family's 1533-position model. The record is from RNAcentral.